GGGUGGGCUUAGUACGGUGAACAAUUGACCUUACUCCUAGAAGAAGCCCCGGGUAAUUCCGUGCCCGCAGCCGCGGUUAUACGGAAGUGGCGGGCGUUAAUCGGAAUUAAUGGGCGUGAAGCGGACGCAGGGGGUUUGUUAAGUCUUAUGUCUAAUCCCCGGGCUCUACCGGGGAACUGCAUUGGAGACUGGGAGAAUUGAGUCUCGGGGAGGGGGGUGGAAUUCCAUGUGUAGCAGUGAAAUGCGUAGAGAUAUGGAGGAACACCGGUGGCGAACGCGGCCCCCUGGACCAAAACUGACGCUCAGGUGCGAAAGCGUGGGGAGCAAACAGGAUUACAUACCCUGGUAGUCCACGCUGUAAACGAUGUCCACUGGGAGGUUGUGCCCUUUCAGGC
RNAcentral lists this ribosomal RNA (395 nucleotides) under Serratia nematodiphila. Its description in RNAcentral is "bacterial SSU rRNA". It matches the Rfam family "Bacterial small subunit ribosomal RNA", at positions 443 to 838 of the family's 1533-position model. Lineage: Bacteria; Pseudomonadati; Pseudomonadota; Gammaproteobacteria; Enterobacterales; Yersiniaceae. The record is from RNAcentral.